This 362-nucleotide unclassified non-coding RNA is filed under the name Chytridiomycota sp. Its description in RNAcentral is "partial contains small subunit ribosomal RNA, internal transcribed spacer 1, and 5.8S ribosomal RNA". The stretch from base 1 to 47 matches the Rfam family "Eukaryotic small subunit ribosomal RNA", at positions 1785 to 1831 of the family's 1831-position model. The record is from RNAcentral. Lineage: Eukaryota; Fungi; Chytridiomycota.
AAAGUCGUAACAAGGUAACCGUAGGUGAACCUGCGGUUGGAUCAUUAAAAAAGUUUGGUUCUCGUAACCAACCACAUUAUGUGCUUUGUUUAAACUGUUUCUGGUGGGGUUCAGAGUGCUUCAUAAAACUCGAGAUGCAUCUUGUCUUUAAUCCUCCGAGAUACUCUUGUUUCUUUGGGUUAGAUGACAUGGAUUGUUGUCUCGUGUUCUUGAUCCUCCCACCGCAAUAUCCAAAGGUCAAUGUUUCUUAACAUUGAUCUUUACAGACCUAUUACUUUAUAUAAUAAUUCUAGUCUUUAUGCGUCUUUGUACGUAAAAGCAAUUUCUUAAAACAACUUUUGACAAUGGAUCUCUUGGCUCUC